RNAcentral lists this non-coding RNA (27 nucleotides) under Mus musculus (house mouse). The record is from RNAcentral. Lineage: Eukaryota; Metazoa; Chordata; Mammalia; Rodentia; Muridae.
UGACUUAACAUGAUUCGCCCCUAUACC